UAUAAAGUACAUCGAAGACAUGAAUUUUUCCAGACAUUUCUACUCGGAAUUAAAUAAAUUGGAAAAGUCACCUUGAAAAGGUGGGGUCAGUGUUACCUUAUUUCCUCUUUAUGAUGCUGGGGGGGGGGGGAUCCCAAUGUGAUUUUGAUCAGAAAGGUUGCAUUUAAAUCAUUUUAGGUAGUAUGAGACACCAUUUCCGCAUUCUCAAAAUUGCGUUGCUUUUUU
This is a non-coding RNA of Paramuricea clavata, 225 nucleotides long. NCBI's taxonomy places the organism in Eukaryota, Metazoa, Cnidaria, Anthozoa, Malacalcyonacea, Plexauridae. The record is from the annotation of a GenBank genome assembly.